Molecule: ribosomal RNA, 465 nt
Filed under: Vreelandella stevensii
Lineage: Bacteria; Pseudomonadati; Pseudomonadota; Gammaproteobacteria; Oceanospirillales; Halomonadaceae
Description: partial 16S ribosomal RNA
Rfam family: Bacterial small subunit ribosomal RNA
Source: RNAcentral
CCUACGGGAGGCAGCAGUGGGGAAUAUUGGACAAUGGGCGAAAGCCUGAUCCAGCCAUGCCGCGUGUGUGAAGAAGGCCUUCGGGUUGUAAAGCACUUUCAGUGGGGAAGAAAGCCUUGGGGCUAAUACCCUCGAGGAAGGACAUCACCCACAGAAGAAGCACCGGCUAACUCCGUGCCAGCAGCCGCGGUAAUACGGAGGGUGCGAGCGUUAAUCGGAAUUACUGGGCGUAAAGCGCGCGUAGGCGGUCUGAUAAGCCGGUUGUGAAAGCCCCGGGCUCAACCUGGGAACGGCAUCCGGAACUGUCAGGCUAGAGUGCAGGAGAGGAAGGUAGAAUUCCCGGUGUAGCGGUGAAAUGCGUAGAGAUCGGAAGGAAUACCAGUGGCGAAGGCGACCUUCUGGACUGACACUGACGCUGAGGUGCGAAAGCGUGGGUAGCAAACAGGAUUAGAUACCCCGGUAGUC